GCCCUACGGGACGCAGCAGUGGGGAAUAUUGCACAAUGGGGGAAACCCUGAUGCAGCAACGCCGCGUGAGUGAAGAAGUAUUUCGGUAUGUAAAGCUCUAUCAGCAGGGAAGAAAAUGACGGUACCUGAGUAAGAAGCCCCGGCUGACUACGCGCCAGCAGCCGCGGUAAUACGUAGGGGGCAAGCGUUAUCCGGAUUUACUGGGUGUAAAGGGAGCGUAGACGGCGAUGCAAGUCUGAAGUGAAAGCCCGGGGCUCAACCCC
Molecule: ribosomal RNA, 263 nt
Filed under: uncultured bacterium
Lineage: Bacteria
Description: partial 16S ribosomal RNA
Rfam family: Bacterial small subunit ribosomal RNA
Source: RNAcentral